GCUGGCCAGUACGGGAGCAUUGCUUCUAAAUAUUACAAACUUUGGAGAAGAAGUGUUGACGUCAACGAAAAAUUACAAACUAAGUUGGACAACAGGGCAAGCACUAAAAAGGUAUACUCAAUUUUUAAUACAAAUACAUUUCAUCAAUCCUUUUAUUAAUGCACCGAUUGAUUUUAAGCCCCUGGGUGAGACGGUCGGGCAUUUGAUUUUCCAUGCAAUUUUCUCUAACAUGGGGAAGCAAAUAUCAGUCAAAUGUGAUCAAAUGCCCCAUUGUUGGGCACAUAAAUUUGUGUCGAAAGGCUUGAAAGUCGUUUGUCCCAGUCCUCAACUUGUGCUCUUCCUCAGGAUACAAGAUGGUGCUCAAUUCAAAUAUCCCCACCCUCUGGAGAUGGUGUCGAUCAAAUUCCUGAGGGUGGGGAAACAAAAAUCCAUUAAAUGCCCUACAUAUGCCCGAUCUUCACUUAGGGCGUAGCAUUUAAAUAUGCAUAAAUAUAACUACAGUAUAUAAACACUGUAAACCUCUGAUAAUAAGCCCCCCCCCCGAAUACCCCCGUACAAGCCCAUCGCAUUACUGAAAUUCACACCAUUCCAAAUAUAUGCCCCCCCCCCACAUUUGUUUAUCACUAUUAUACACUAACACAAAAAUCACUAUUACACCAACACAAAAUGUUGUCCAUGGGUAAGCCCCCCCCCCCUAUAUAAGCUCCCCUGUGUAUAAGCCCAUCAAAAACAUGUACAAACGAAUAUAAGCCCAGGGCUCAUAUUCGGAGGUUUACAGUGUGUCCAUAUCCAUAUGCCAUUACCUAUAUUUAUACAGCUAAUUCAGAAAAGGUUGUCCUUUGCAAACCUUAAACUUGAAACCUUAAACUCUAAACGUGCAAAGCAUAAUGGGAGGCCAAGCAUCAUUUAAUCUGUUUAUAAAUCAUAGAUGGGGCCUAUUUCUUAGAGACAUGGUGAACAUCUCCUUACGAGAACAAUUCAUUCACAAAUAGCUGCAAUAUUCAAAUACUAUAAGCUUGAAAGCUGAAACUUGUGCUCCCAUUAAGCUUUGCACACUUAGAGUUUAAGGUUUGGAAAGGACACCUUUUUUGAUUUGGCUAUACAGGUAUAUAUAUUCAUUUCCUUUGCCUGGAAGCCUCAUUCUUAUGAGUCAAGAUGAAAGGCAAUUUAACCAAUUUGCUUACGAUUUUUGAGAAUGAGACUUCCUGCCAAGAAGAGAAUCAUGACAUACUGUAAACUAUAUCAAAGGGUUUGUUGGUCACACACUAUUAGCUUGCUCAAAA
Molecule: non-coding RNA, 1283 nt
Organism: Paramuricea clavata
Lineage: Eukaryota; Metazoa; Cnidaria; Anthozoa; Malacalcyonacea; Plexauridae
Source: the annotation of a GenBank genome assembly